AUUGAACGCUGGCGGCAUGCUUUACACAUGCAAGUCGAACGGCAGCACGGGCUUUGGCCUGGUGGCGAGUGGCGCACGGGUGAGAAAUAUAUCGGAAAGUACCUAGUAGUGGGGGAUAACGUCGCGCAAAUUACGCUAAUACCGCAUAUGAUCUAUGGAUGAAAAAACGGGACACCAAGGCCUUGUGCUCCUGGAGCAGCCGAUAUCUGAUUAGCUAGUUGGUGAGGUAAAGGCUCACCAAGGCGACGAUCAGUAGCUGGUCUGAGAGGACGACCAGCCACACUGGAACUGAGACACGGUCCAGACUCCUACGGGAGGCAGCAGUGGGGAAUUUUGGACAAUGGGCGCAAGCCUGAUCCAGCAAUGCCGCGUGAGUGAAGAAGGCCUUCGGGUUGUAAAGCUCUUUUGUCAGGGAAGAAACGGUAGAGGCUAAUAUCCUUUGCUAAUGACGGUACCUGAAGAAUAAGCACCGGCUAACUACGUG
Molecule: ribosomal RNA, 484 nt
Filed under: uncultured bacterium
Lineage: Bacteria
Description: partial 16S ribosomal RNA
Rfam family: Bacterial small subunit ribosomal RNA
Source: RNAcentral